Carassius auratus (goldfish) is the source of this 548-nucleotide long non-coding RNA. RefSeq lists it as uncharacterized. The transcript is spliced from 3 exons. The record is from RefSeq and is a predicted model, not a curated record. NCBI's taxonomy places the organism in Eukaryota, Metazoa, Chordata, Actinopteri, Cypriniformes, Cyprinidae.
GUGAUGAUGAUGAAAAAUCAGCUUUGAUCAUAGCAAUCAACUGACCCUUCGCAAAAAACCCACCCUCCUUAAAUACUGUUGCUAUGUCUGACAAGCCAUGCUGCUCUCACAGUACACACCUUGUUCUCACACAGCGAAAAAUAGAUCGUGGACCAAAGAGGAAACUGACAGCACACUGACAGAAGAAUACAGAGAAGGUCACUUCUGAUCCAUGAAAGUCCUCAUCUUCUGUGUCUGAACUGAACAGCUGGGCAAUAGCUUUUGAACAGUUUCCCCAUCAAACAUGCCGGGUUCCCUCUCAUCAUGGUUGAUCGCGGACAGCAUACGUAGUCCUCGUGUAUGGAGACUUCAGAAGAUGCCAGACGUCACAAAGAUUUCAGAUGAUGGAAACUAUAGAUGAACAUGCAAAGCUGCUAAAUAAUCCUUAUAUUGUAAUCAUUGCCCUAAAAGGUAAUAUUGCAGGCUGAUUUAAGGUGUGCACCUACAUUUUCUGCUUGUACUCCUAUGUUUUUAUGAUACAAAUGUAAAUGACUGCAAAUGAACAUAAG